This 378-nucleotide ribosomal RNA is filed under the name uncultured bacterium. Its description in RNAcentral is "bacterial SSU rRNA". It matches the Rfam family "Bacterial small subunit ribosomal RNA", at positions 521 to 896 of the family's 1533-position model. The record is from RNAcentral.
UAAUACGUAGGGUGCAAGCGUUGUCCGGAAUUAUUGGGCGUAAAGAGCUCGUAGGCGGUCUGUUACGUCGGCUGUGAAAACCUGGGGCUCAACUCCGGGCCUGCAGCCGAUACGGGCAGACUAGAAUUCGGUAGGGGAGACUGGAAUUCCUGGUGUAGCGGUGAAAUGCGCAGAUAUCAGGAGGAACACCGGUGGCGAAGGCGGGUCUCUGGGCCGAUAUUGACGCUGAGGAGCGAAAGCGUGGGGAGCGAACAGGAUUAGAUACCCUGGUAGUCCACGCCGUAAACGUUGGGCGCUAGGUGUGGGCUCCAUUCCACGGAGUCUGUGCCGCAGCUAACGCAUUAAGCGCCCCGCCUGGGGAGUACGGCCGCAAGGCUA